Molecule: non-coding RNA, 885 nt
Organism: Camellia sinensis
Lineage: Eukaryota; Viridiplantae; Streptophyta; Magnoliopsida; Ericales; Theaceae
Source: RefSeq, a predicted model, not a curated record
UGUUGUUGUUGUUUGUAUUGUUAGUGUAGCCAUACAGCUCCAGGUCCAUAUCUGGGUCCCCCUGCUGCGUCUGCUGCUGCUGGUGGCGGCGGCAAUCGUCGUCCAUGGUGGCCUCAUUGAUCAUUGCUGUGAUCUGAUCAUGCACAAACAUGUUCAAUGCAGAAUGAAGGGAAUUCUUACAAAGAUGUAAUUUUCUCUUUUGUUGUAAAAUUGGGAGAAGAAUUAUUAAAGACGACAUACCUUUUCAUGGAGAGCCGUGACAGCUUUCAUCAUUAGCUGUGACUGCACAUAAUUAAUGUUUGGUAAACUAAAGAUUCUGUAGAUGCAUGGCCAGUCACUAAUAUGAACUCAUGAACAUCUCAGGUAGGUCUUAUCUCAAAAUUCAGAAGUACAGUACCUGCACAAUAUCAAAAUUGAACUGUUGAUAGUCGAUUCACUGAAUGCCUUUUGCUUCUCAUAUAUCAGAGAAGAGCUGACGAAACCAGAAGAUAUCUAUAAUUCCAUGGGAAGUUUCUUAAAUCACUUCCAAUUUGUGAAGCUGUAUGAGGUGUGCCAUUGAAGUUGAGUAUCAAGUUGAAUAAUCAAGUGAUCGCUUCAGAUAGCAAGAUUUCUCCUUCAGCUUUUUUGCGUACUUUAAAAAAAAUGGAGAAGCUCUUUAGAAAGUUAAAACAAAAUCUCAAGAGUUGCUGCUCUUCUUCCAGACUCUCUAACAAGACUGUGAAGGAGUGACCUGUUUCUUGUUUCCAUAUACCAGUUUUUUAUGUUUUUUGUGUUAGGGUGGGUAAUUGCAAGUAUUCUUGGAAUUAGCAUUGUUGCCUACAUGAUUGAGAGGUGGCAAACCUUUGCAGGCUUUAUCCAGCUAACACAAAAGAAGAACUUUUGCAA